Elgaria multicarinata webbii is the source of this 257-nucleotide long non-coding RNA. RefSeq lists it as uncharacterized. The record is from RefSeq and is a predicted model, not a curated record. Lineage: Eukaryota; Metazoa; Chordata; Lepidosauria; Squamata; Anguidae. The transcript has 3 exons.
CGAGAAGAGUCGACAUCGAGAACCACCAUUUCAGCGAUGCCCUGACUUGCUUCGGUAACGAAAGGUGGGCGCAUACCACCGCCAUGACUUUGGUGAAGACCCUCGGCGCCGUGGCCAACCCGAACGGAAGAACGGUGAAUUGGUACUGGGAUGUACCGAUCGAAAACCGAAGAUAAGAAAGAAGUAAGAAGAAUUAGGAAAGAUUGAAGAAUGAACAGGUUUAAAGAAAAGAUUAAGUAAGUUAACUAGAAAAACGC